AUCCAGCUGACGAGUCCAAAAUCGGACGAAACAAUGAGAGUCCUGGAU
Molecule: non-coding RNA, 48 nt
Organism: Schistosoma mattheei
Lineage: Eukaryota; Metazoa; Platyhelminthes; Trematoda; Strigeidida; Schistosomatidae
Source: Rfam